GCCUUGGGAGGCAGCAGGCAGGGGAUUCCUGUCACACAGACAGAUUGGGUUCCCAUCCCCUGGCUCCCAACUCUGGGCACUGGAGGAGUAAACUGAUGAGAUGACUGUAUAUUUCUCUCUGCCUGCCUCUCAAGAACUACCAUGUAUUCUAUUAACUCCUGGCAGACACAAGUGCAGAAAAGAGGUUAGCAUUCCACCUUAAACAGCCAGAAGAGUAUCACUAUCUCAAUCAGGAUUGCUUCACGGUGGAGGGGGAAGAUUUGAGGCAUGACUUUGAACGCCUACAGCUGGCCAUGGAAAUGGUAGGAUUUCUUCCCAAGAUGCGAAGACAGGGAGCUGCGUGCAGUGGCCUGGCAGCCAUUUCCACAGAGAAGGACGCCGAGGGUGGGGAGCGAAUGCGUGUGCUCCACAGGACGCCCAGGAGGUGGACGAGAGGCAGCACCAGACAGCUCUGGAAUAGAGGUGAGGUGCUCUGCGUGACGGACAGCCACAAAGUCUGUCCAAGCAGCAUUCGAACCCCACGUGCCUCCCCCACCCAGCUCAACGAAGCAGCAGCCCCUCCCCCUCUCUGCAGAAAUCUGUAUUCUGGGUCCCUGGGCCUGGGAGCCCCUGACACAGCUGGGCAAGGAGUCCUCCCUUGGAGCUGGCGUGUUCCCCUUUCUCCUCACACGUGGGUUUCAGUAUCCUGGAAACCAUGA
RNAcentral lists this long non-coding RNA (698 nucleotides) under Oryctolagus cuniculus (rabbit). RNAcentral's name for it is "lncRNA (ENSOCUG00000031700.1)". Lineage: Eukaryota; Metazoa; Chordata; Mammalia; Lagomorpha; Leporidae. The record is from RNAcentral.